RNAcentral lists this ribosomal RNA (251 nucleotides) under uncultured prokaryote. RNAcentral's name for it is "partial 16S rRNA". It matches the Rfam family "Bacterial small subunit ribosomal RNA", at positions 525 to 775 of the family's 1533-position model. The record is from RNAcentral.
ACGGAGGGUGCAAGCGUUAAUCGGAAUUACUGGGCGUAAAGCGCACGCAGGCGGUUUGUUAAGUUGGAUGUGAAAUCCCCGGGCUUAACCUGGGAACUGCAUCCAAGACUGGCAAGCUAGAGUCUCGUAGAGGGAGGUAGAAUUCCAGGUGUAGCGGUGAAAUGCGUAGAGAUCUGGAGGAAUACCGGUGGCGAAGGCGGCCUCCUGGACGAAGACUGACGCUCAGGUGCGAAAGCGUGGGGAGCAAACAG